ACUGGGCAUGGUGGUGCAUGUCUGUAAUCCCAGCUACUGGGGAGGCUCAAUGGCUGUCUGGGAACUCAGGACCUGCUGUGAGCUAAACCAGUCAGGUGUCCACACUAAGUGUAGCAUUAAUAUGAUACACCAGGCAUAGAGGCCACCAGAUUGCCUAAGGAGAUCUAACUGGGCCAGGUAAGAAACAGAGCAGGUAAAAGCUCCCAUGCCAGUCCACAAUGCUAUGGCCCAUGAGUAGCCCCUGCACUUCCACUCUAGGCAAGAUUUGGGGA
Molecule: non-coding RNA, 272 nt
Filed under: Phascolarctos cinereus (koala)
Lineage: Eukaryota; Metazoa; Chordata; Mammalia; Diprotodontia; Phascolarctidae
Source: RNAcentral